RNAcentral lists this ribosomal RNA (498 nucleotides) under uncultured bacterium. RNAcentral's name for it is "partial 16S ribosomal RNA". It matches the Rfam family "Bacterial small subunit ribosomal RNA", at positions 30 to 523 of the family's 1533-position model. The record is from RNAcentral.
AUUGAACGCUGGCGGCAUGCCUUACACAUGCAAGUCGAACGGUAACAGGUCUUCGGAUGCUGACGAGUGGCGAACGGGUGAGUAAUACAUCGGAACGUGCCUAGUAGUGGGGGAUAACUACUCGAAAGAGUGGCUAAUACCGCAUGAGAUCUACGGAUGAAAGCAGGGGAUCGCAAGACCUUGUGCUACUAGAGCGGCCGAUGGCAGAUUCGGUAGUUGGUGGGAUAAAAGCUUACCAAGCCGACGAUCUGUAGCUGGUCUGAGAGGACGUUUAGCCCCACUGGGACUGAGACACGGCCCAGACUACUACGGGAGGCAGCAGUGGGGAAUUUUGGACAAUGGGCGAAAGCCUGAUCCAGCAAUGCCGCGUGCAGGAUGAAUGCCUUCGGGUUGUAAACUGCUUUUGUACGGAACGAAAAGCCCCGGGUUAAUACCCUGGGGUCAUGACGGUACCGUAAGAAUAAGCACCGGCUAACUACGUGCCAGCCGCCGCGGUAA